This 251-nucleotide ribosomal RNA is filed under the name uncultured bacterium. Its description in RNAcentral is "partial 16S ribosomal RNA". It matches the Rfam family "Bacterial small subunit ribosomal RNA", at positions 524 to 776 of the family's 1533-position model. The record is from RNAcentral.
UACAGAGGUCUCAAGCGUUGUUCGGAUUCAUUGGGCGUAAAGGGUGCGUAGGUGGCGCUGUAAGUCAGGUGUGAAAUUUCGGAGCUCAACUCCGAAACUGCAUUCGAUACUGCCGUGCUUGAGGACUUGAGAGGAGACUGGAAUUACGGUGUAGCGGUGAAAUGCGUAGAUAUCGUAAGGAAGACCAGUGGCGAAGGCGGGUCUCUGGACAGUUCCUGACGCUGAGGCACGAAGGCCAGGGAGCAAACGGG